Molecule: non-coding RNA, 2649 nt
Organism: Arachis ipaensis
Lineage: Eukaryota; Viridiplantae; Streptophyta; Magnoliopsida; Fabales; Fabaceae
Source: RefSeq, a predicted model, not a curated record
UGGUCUCCCUCCUCUCUUUUGUUACUUUCAUUCAUUCCUUCAUUCAAAGAAAAACAAAAAGGGAAAACCUUAGCUAGCCUCCACCGCCGCCGAAUGGAGUGACCGAUUGCCGCCGUCCGUGGCUGUCCGAGGAGUCUCUCUUUGUACUGUCGGUGUUUUCCAAGUCAAAUCUCCUAUUCGAUGUCUUCUUCCUCACUCGGCGCCCAUCCUCCGUCGGAUUCUUCCUGCUCGCGGUCGUCUUGUCGCCGUCGUCUCGGCGUCAUUGUCUCGAAGAUUACACAGAAAAAAAAACCAAUUACUUGAAACACUUGCACACAAACAUGCCCAGUCUUAACAACAGCUUCCCAAUGGAUCUUUCAUUGGGUCUUUCCCCUGUUCUCAGAACUUUGGUUGUAAUCAUGAAAAAAAAUGGAUAGACAAUAUGAUUUGUUAGAGAUGAUUGCACCGUCAAAAGAGAGCUGGAAGAUUCAUAUCAGAGUAAUCAGACUCUGGUCUUUACCAAAAUUCAAAGACUCCAAAUCCAAUAGCUCCAUUGAAAUGGUGUUGAUGGAUGAGCAGGGAACAACUAUGCAUGCUUCUGUAGGUGAGGAUCUAAUAUCUGUGUUUCAAUCAUUGAUAUCAGAAGGAACUAUGUAUGUUUUUACAUACUUUGGAGUUAGCAAUGACUGUCGGUUGUAUCGCAUAACAUCGCAUCAAUUUCGGUUGUUUUUUCAAGAUAGAACUACUGUCUUACCCUCUUUCUGUGAUGCAAUACCGUUAUAUGGUAUUAAGUUGGUCCCUUUUAGGGAAAUUAUGGGAUACUCUUCUCAUCAUCCUUUUUUGGUUGGUAAGUGUAUAAUUUAUGGCAUGUACACAAGUUGAUUUUUAUUUUGUAAUUAUGAUAAAAUAUCACUAAAACGUGUGAUUUGUGCACAUUUUUCUAUUUGAUAUUUAUUUAAGACGUUGCUGGAGUUAUGACCGGUAUAGAGAGUGAGAGAAAAUAUGUGAACGAUGGCAAACUUAUUAACAUGAUAGUCAUUCAUAUUGAGAAUGACGGGUGCGUUUUUUCCAACAACCCUUACUCACCACUUAAUAUGUUUAUAUAAUUAAUUUUUUUAUUUUCUAAAUAAUUCUCAUUUUCUCUACAGUUUAAAGCUUAAUAUUGUUGUUCUUGGAGAGAUGGUGGACCGGAUCAAGGAUUUUCUGGCAUCGGGCGAUCAACAACUGCCAAUAGUUGUUUUUCAAUUUGCAAGAGUAAAAAAUGCUGGGGAACCAAUAUUGUGCAGAACAUUAUGUAUGGUAAUAGACUCUUGAUAAAUCCGGAUAUUCCUGAGGCUUUGAUGCUUCGAAAAAGAGAGAUCUCGCAGUACCUAUCUGUGAUUUCUGGCAAACCGGCAUAUCUUGAUGAAGAUAAGGUUUUAUAUUCCACUGGGAGGAAGACAAUAAAUGAGUUACGUGCGGUUGCGGAUGUUGGAUUCUAUGUUGUUCGGGCCACUGUUCUUGAUGUUGAACCCGUUCCAAGUUGGUGGUAUAAAUCAUGUCUUUGCAGCGUGAAGGUAGAAGCUAAUGCGGAUGAAUACUUCUGCGACGGCUGUAAUAGGGACGUGAAUAAUGUGGUUGACAGGUAUGACUCUAAUUAGACUUAUUUGUGCAAUCUUUUCAUAAAAAAGCAAUAUAGUUAACUAAUUGAUUAUGUUGAUUUUUAAAUGAUUUAGCAAUAUCUGGCUUAAUACCAAUAAUUAUUAAAAACAAAAGCUGCUUUGGCUGAUGGAAAUAUGGUCUAGCCACAAAAAAUGGCAAACAAAGAUAGAGUGCACAGAAAAAAUUUAUAUACCUACAACAAUUUUAUACCAAAGUCUCCUUUGCUAGGCUAAAAUCUAGAAAACUGAUAAAUCUAAAAAUAAUUGUGUUUGAGCAUCUAAAUUAUGUUGAAUAUAAUUUUUAUGAUUUUGUUGUAACUAAAGGGUGAUAGGCCAUGUGUUAGUUGAUGUUUUUUAAUAAUAAAAAAAACAGGUAUAAGUUGAAUUUGUUGAUUUUUUAUGGUACUGCUACAACAAAUUUUGUUGUGUUCGAUAAGGAGGUCGUAGCUCUAUUCGGACAAACCUGUACUGAGAUGGUGAAAGAGUUGAAUGAAAAAGGGAAAGCAAGCAAAGAUCCUAUUGGUUUUAAUGAGUUUUUCCUUGAUAAGGAGUUUUUAUUCAAGGUCGAAGUAGAAACUACUGGAUGGUGCGAUUCUUAUGAUGUAUCGGUGAUACGUUCUGAUUCUACAAGUUUACCGAGGUGGAGAGACAAUCAAGGCCCGGUAAAAUCUGAUGUACCCCUGCUGGUCCUGUUAACCCUGUUCAUCCUCGAGGUGAAGAUGGAUGUUCUGUUUGUGAUGAGUCACCUGAUCCAAUCGUAAAAAAUCUGUCUGUUACUAAAAAACCUGUUGUCAGGCGCCUGUUGGAUGAGUUUAACAUGUCUGGUGCUCCUUCCAUUAAAAAAUAGCUGCUGUGAAACAUGAAGUUUUUCAUGUAAUGGAGAUAAAAGAGCAUGUUUUGAAGGUUUGGUGGAGUCUUAGCUAUAGCUAUUGUUUAUUGAGAGAAUAGAUACUAUUCAAUUUUUAAAGUAUUUUGAAUUUUAAAUUGAACAAUUGUUGUUUUAUUUUAUUUAAUUAUCUAUAUUUUUUUG